Molecule: long non-coding RNA, 734 nt
Filed under: Coccomyxa subellipsoidea
Lineage: Eukaryota; Viridiplantae; Chlorophyta; Trebouxiophyceae; Coccomyxaceae
Description: long non-coding RNA (CSUB_LNC000069)
Source: RNAcentral
CCUCGAAAUUGAAUGGAGUGUAUGGCAAGGAGAGGAUGGCAGCUGUUCCCCUUUUCUGCAUGGAACUGCUUGAGCUAUGCGUGCUGGCUGCAGCUGAAACAAUGGAUGUGCUGCCAGACGAUUUUCUGUAUCUCGUAGAAGUCUUGCCAGCUGACCUCUGUGUGGGGAAGUCCAUUGCGCUGCCCUGCACGUUGUCCUCUUCCUCUCUUGUCCCUCUGCAAGGAUCCGGGAACCUGAACAAUCAAUCAAAAGGGAUAUACACAAAGGAUAUAAAUGGCGGAUGCAGGCAAAGUGGACAGGGUGUAUCUGCGACGCGCUCACUCCUAGGUUUCAUAAUAUAUUGAAUACAGCAGUCAGGCAAUUUUGCACCCCUCCUAGGUAGCGCAUUGCCUUGGAAUAUGUAGUUAAUACCUUAUCACACCGUGAUACACGCUCCGACUGCGUUCAGUUUCUUGGAUACGACCUCCAUGCCGUACUAUGCCAGUCCGUUUCUCUAUUACUAUUGUCAAGCUUCCCGACCUCAGUCCUUCUUUGAUUUUGCACCAACUUCUGAUGCAACCUUGUGCGCUACAACAGCUAUUUUAUGAGCUGCGCUGGAGGAGAAGGCCUUGAUAUUCGACCUCGAAAAAGCGACCCGAAACGCCCUAGUCCCCUUGGCCUUCUUACCGGCCUGAUCUGCCACAGCAAGUGGCAUCCCUAGGUCUUUGACAUUCUAGCAAGCCUCCUGCUGCAGC